This 164-nucleotide ribosomal RNA is filed under the name Lijndenia barteri. Its description in RNAcentral is "5.8S ribosomal RNA". It matches the Rfam family "5.8S ribosomal RNA". From Rfam's summary of the family: 5.8S ribosomal RNA (5.8S rRNA) is a component of the large subunit of the eukaryotic ribosome. It is transcribed by RNA polymerase I as part of the 45S precursor that also contains 18S and 28S rRNA. The record is from RNAcentral. Lineage: Eukaryota; Viridiplantae; Streptophyta; Magnoliopsida; Myrtales; Melastomataceae.
GAAAACGACUCUCGGCAACGGAUAUCUCGGCUCUCGCAUCGAUGAAGAACGUAGCGAAAUGCGAUACUUGGUGUGAAUUGCAGAAUCCCGUGAACCAUCGAGUCUUUGAACGCAAGUUGCGCCCGAAGCCCUUUGGCCGAGGGCACGCCUGCCUGGGUGUCGUG